UCGGGAAUUUUGGGCAAUGGGCGAAAGCCUGACCCAGCAACGCCGCGUGAGUGAUGAAGGCCUUAGGGUUGUAAAGCUCUUUUACCAGGGAUGAUAAUGACAGUACCUGGAGAAUAAGCUCCGGCUAACUCCGUGCCAGCAGCCGCGGUAAUACGGAGGGAGCUAGCGUUGUUCGGAAUUACUGGGCGUAAAGCGUACGUAGGCGGUGACUCAAGUCAGAGGUGAAAGCCUGGAGCUCAACUCCAGAACUGCCUUUGAAACUAGGUCGCUAGAAUCACGGAGAGGUGAGUGGAAUUCCGAGUGUAGAGGUGAAAUUCGUAGAUAUUCGGAAGAACACCAGUGGCGAAGGCGGCUCACUGGACGUGUAUUGACGCUGAGGUACGAAAGCGUGGGGAGCAAACAGGAUUAGAUACCCCCGUAGUCCCUGAGCGGGCUGGCAAGGCGCAU
RNAcentral lists this ribosomal RNA (447 nucleotides) under uncultured bacterium. RNAcentral's name for it is "bacterial SSU rRNA". It matches the Rfam family "Bacterial small subunit ribosomal RNA", at positions 355 to 825 of the family's 1533-position model. The record is from RNAcentral.